Molecule: ribosomal RNA, 429 nt
Filed under: bacterium
Lineage: Bacteria
Description: partial 16S ribosomal RNA
Rfam family: Bacterial small subunit ribosomal RNA
Source: RNAcentral
UAGGGAAUCUUCGGCAAUGGGGGCAACCUUGACCGAGCAACGCCGCGUGAGUGAAGAAGGUUUUCGGAUCGUAAAGCUCUGUUGUAAGAGAAGAACGUGUGUGAGAGUGGAAAGUUCACACAGUGACGGUAACUUACCAGAAAGGGACGGCUAACUACGUGCCAGCAGCCGCGGUAAUACGUAGGUCCCGAGCGUUGUCCGGAUUUAUUGGGCGUAAAGCGAGCGCAGGCGGUUUAAUAAGUCUGAAGUUAAAGGCAGUGGCUUAACCAGUGUUCGCUUUGGAAACUGUUAAACUUGAGUGCAGAAGGGGAGAGUGGAAUUCCAUGUGUAGCGGUGAAAUGCGUAGAUAUAUGGAGGAACACCGGUGGCGAAAGCGACUCUCUGGUCUGUAACUGACGCUGAGGCUCGAAAGCGUGGGGAGCAAACAGG